Molecule: ribosomal RNA, 440 nt
Filed under: uncultured bacterium
Lineage: Bacteria
Description: partial 16S ribosomal RNA
Rfam family: Bacterial small subunit ribosomal RNA
Source: RNAcentral
CCUACGGGGUGCAGCAGUGGGGGAUAUUGCACAAUGGGGGGAACCCUGAUGCAGCGACGCCGCGUGGGUGAAGAAGCGCCUCGGCGCGUAAAGCCCUGUCAGCAGGGAAGAAAAUGACGGUACCUGAAGAAGAAGCCCCGGCUAACUACGUGCCAGUAGCCGCGGUAAUACGUAGGGGGCAAGCGUUAUCCGGAUUUACUGGGUGUAAAGGGAGCGUAGACGGUUAUGCAAGUCUGAAGUGAAAGCCCAAGGCUCAACCAUGGGACUGCUUUGGAAACUGUAAAACUGGAGUGCAGGAGAGGUAAGCGGAAUUCCUAGUGUAGCGGUGAGAUGCGUAGAUAUUAGGAGGAACACCAGUGGCGAAGGCGGCUUACUGGACUGUAACUGACGUUGAGGCUCGAAGGCGUGGGGAGCAAACAGGAUUAGAUACCCCUGUAGUC